CGCACGGGUGAGUAACACGUAUGCAACCUGCCUGCCACAGACCGGAUAAUCGGGAGAAAUUCCGUCUAAUACGGCAUAAUGCAUCGACGGGACAUCCUGUUGGUGCCAAAGGUUAAUUCCGGUGGCGGAUGGGCAUGCGUCGCAUUAGUUAGUUGGCGGUGUAACGGACCACCAAGACGACGAUGCGUAGGGGUUCUGAGAGGAAGGUCCCCCACACUGGUACUGAGACACGGACCAGACUCCUACGGGAGGCAGCAG
RNAcentral lists this ribosomal RNA (258 nucleotides) under uncultured bacterium. Its description in RNAcentral is "partial 16S ribosomal RNA". It matches the Rfam family "Bacterial small subunit ribosomal RNA", at positions 99 to 354 of the family's 1533-position model. The record is from RNAcentral.